UACAGAGGGUGCAAGCGUUGUUCGGAAUUACUGGGUGUAAAGGGUUCGUAGGCGGUGUGGUAAGUCGGGAGUGAAAUUUCUGGGCUCAACUCAGAGACUGCUUCCGAAACUGCUGUGCUUGAGUGUGGGAGAGGCGCGUGGAAUUGCAGGUGUAGCGGUGAAAUGCGUAGAUAUCUGCAGGAACACCCGUGGCGAAAGCGGCGCGCUGGACCACUACUGACGCUGAGGAACGAAAGCUAGGGGAGCAAACAGG
This 253-nucleotide ribosomal RNA is filed under the name uncultured bacterium. Its description in RNAcentral is "partial 16S ribosomal RNA". It matches the Rfam family "Bacterial small subunit ribosomal RNA", at positions 524 to 776 of the family's 1533-position model. The record is from RNAcentral.